This 212-nucleotide unclassified non-coding RNA is filed under the name uncultured Leucocoprinus. Its description in RNAcentral is "sequence contains ITS2". The record is from RNAcentral. Lineage: Eukaryota; Fungi; Basidiomycota; Agaricomycetes; Agaricales; Agaricaceae.
AAUUCUCAACCCCUUCCAGCUGUUGUGGUUGGCCUCUGGGGAUUGGAUGAUGGAGGUUGUGCAGGCCUGUCGAGGUCAGCUCCUCUGAAAUGCAUUAGUGGAACCGUUUGCGAUCCAUCACAGGUGUGAUAAUUAUCUACGCCUAGUGGGUUGCUCUCUGUCUUUGUUCUGCUUCCAACUGUCCACUGCUUGUGGACAAACUAUUACUGAAC